UAGUGCGCAACGUUGACGGACGCGCCGCGCGACAAUUCGCUAAGCAGCAUUACAACAACGACAACGGCAACGACAACGCGCUCGUGUCUUUUUAGCUCGUCUCUGUGUUAGUGAGAGUGUUAAGCGUAACGGUACUUCGAUUCAAUUUCAUAUGUGUGGCCAAUAAGUGCGGCCCCGGGGCAUUUAACGGCACGCGCCUGAAAGCAUGCAGCAACAAAUUCAAUACCCGGAGCACAUUUUGGACUCCAAAGGGAAUGUACGCUGCGCAGCGCCUGCAGCUAUGCAAUGGAAAAUGUAUUUUGCCACUCAGCCAAGGGCUGAACAAAUUGUUGCGCGUAAAUAUUUAACAGUCGCAAUGAAUUGCAUUUGCAGCAAUUGAAAGUAAGAGCGAGCAGCUAAAGAACACAUUUUCGCACAGAUAAAGAAAUAUGCGAGUCGAGCAAACAAACUAUGCAACGCGCAAACAUUGACAAAACCCAGCCAAACAAAAAA
Non-coding RNA from Drosophila virilis, 492 nucleotides. Lineage: Eukaryota; Metazoa; Arthropoda; Insecta; Diptera; Drosophilidae. The record is from RefSeq and is a predicted model, not a curated record.